RNAcentral lists this ribosomal RNA (254 nucleotides) under uncultured bacterium. RNAcentral describes it as "partial 16S ribosomal RNA". It matches the Rfam family "Bacterial small subunit ribosomal RNA", at positions 524 to 776 of the family's 1533-position model. The record is from RNAcentral.
UACAGAGGUGGCAAGCGUUGUUCGGAAUUACUGGGCGUAAAGGGCGCGUAGGCGGUCGUGACAAGUCACUUGUGAAAUCUCCGGGCUUAACUCGGAACGGUCAAGUGAUACUGUCGGACUAGAGUACAGAAGGGGCAACUGGAAUUCUCGGUGUAGCGGUGAAAUGCGUAGAUAUCGAGAGGAACACCUGCGGCGAAGGCGGGUUGCUGGGCUGAUACUGACGCUGAUGCGCGAAAGCCAGGGGAGCGAACGGG